Molecule: long non-coding RNA, 999 nt
Organism: Humulus lupulus (European hop)
Lineage: Eukaryota; Viridiplantae; Streptophyta; Magnoliopsida; Rosales; Cannabaceae
Exons: 5
Source: RefSeq, a predicted model, not a curated record
AUUUUCUCCUUUUGUUUAUUUUUGUCCCUUGGUUUAUUUAGUAAGAAAAAGAUAGAAGAAAGAAAGUGUUGGCUCCGUAGAUUUGAGCCUGGUACUCACCUGGACCAAAAAAAUUCUAAGCAAGCUUUUCCCUUUUGGUUUGCUUUUGUUUCUUUGCCAAAAGGAGAGGACACUGAUGUCAAAAGAGAUGAUCUUGCAAGGGCUCUAAUGGUAGCUUUCUCAUCAACACCUCUUCUUGAGCCAUAUGUCAUUCCCUUGCUUCUUGAAAAACUCUCUUCUUCUCUGCCAUCAUCAAAGCUUGGUGGAGGUUAUCUAUUUGGGUUGCCUUUGGGGUUCGUUGCUGAUUCUAUUGGUGCAACAAUUGGUGCUACAGCUGCAUUUAUUCUUGAUAGAACAGUGAGUAUUGUAGACCAUAGUUUUCUUUAAGGACAAUUAAUUUUUUAAUUUUCUUUAACUAGAUUUAAGAUGCUUGCAAGUUGAAAGUGCUUGUCAUAUAUUAGACCAUAUUUUUCCUCAUUUAUUGUGUUUAGUUUUAAUAUUUGAUUAUAGAUGCUUGCCUUAUAUUGAGCUCUAAUUUCAAAAAAUAAGAGAACUUCACUGGUUCUAUAGCAGGAUUUUACAUGACCAAACCAAUGUUUGAUUAGCUUAUAUUUGAUUAUACUCUGUUUGAUUAGCUUAAUGGUCCAUUGAUUGUGAAGAAAACAUAAAAACUAAAUUCUUCUUUUGCUCAUUUUGGAUAUAGCAUGCUCUCUUUUAUGUUAGUAGACUUCCAAAUCUUUGAAAUUAGAACCUUCUUUGUUUACUCUAUGCAAGUAGGAUAUGAUCUUCUGAUCCAAACCAAUAGUAAUUCAAUCUAGAAGUUAGUUGUACCAAACUAGUUUUUUAAGCUGUUGGUCUCGACAGAGUUGUUAAUUAGUUGUGGUGCUUAAGUAUAGAUGACUGUUUGAUCUUAUAUGUGUUCCUAGUUAUGGUUGUUGUGGUGGUAUUGUUUUUGUACCA